UGUUUCUAUUCAUAAGUUAUAAUAGCAACAACUUAUCUAGUUCCCUCACUUUUCCCCUUUUACUCAAAUUAUUAUAAACUCUUCUUAUUCCUAUCAUGUCAAUUCAUCUUAGCUAAAAAUAUUGCCCUGAGCAAAAGAUGCCGUAUCUAUACCUAUGUACAUCAUUCAUUCACACAAACAAACAAAACAUUAGCAAAAACAACAACCACAACAACAACAAGCACUGGUCUAUCAAAAACUCUACAAACAAGUUGUAACAGUGAAAAAUCAAAAUAUGAUAUAAUGUAACAGUCUUACAUGAAAACACUGAGAUAUGACAUGUGGUUUAGUGAGAAGAGCCCUGCCUUGGGAGUCAGGAGGCCCAUAUUCUAAUUUUGGAUGACUUUGGGCAACUCAUUUAGCAUUUCUAGGCUUCACUUUUUCUCACUAUUAAAAUGUAGGUUGGACUGGAUCAGUGGAUCUCCGUAGUGAUCCAGGGGUCCAUACCCUUCACAGGAUUGCAUGAAGAGCUUUUUCCCCACCAGAGACUUUCGGGGACUGGGGAAGGCAUGGCAGAAUUCCUCCAGGAUAAGAGUUGGAAGACAUGAGAAGGUGGUGGUGGUAAGAAUAAUUCGUUAUCUUCUGUGUUUCUCAGCAGGGUAUCUGGAGUUCAGUGGAGAAACUGGAAUGAAUCCACUCAAAGAGGGGAAGUUUCCAAAAAAUAAAGACAGCAGUGAUAGAUAAGAACUGAAAGGCAGGAGCAUACAUGUGUCCUGUUCUUCUCUUACUAUGCUUGGAUCAAAAUUUUAACUACAGUGAACCUCAAGACUCUGAAAUGCCCCAGGUGCAGUUUGACAGGAUUCAUGAUGAGGAUGUGGCUACAUGCAUCUCAAAAGGACUAGUACCUCAUGCCCAUUGUGACAUGGCUGGACCGGGCAGGGAGGGACCUGAGCAACCACAGCAUCGUGGAAAUCCUGGAGGAGCAGAUGAAUGGCUUCUGCAGGGUGUUCCCCAUCCUGAAAUACCUUGUCAAGUUAAAUGA
Molecule: long non-coding RNA, 1021 nt
Filed under: Macaca fascicularis (crab-eating macaque)
Lineage: Eukaryota; Metazoa; Chordata; Mammalia; Primates; Cercopithecidae
Description: lncRNA (ENSMFAG00000053248.1)
Source: RNAcentral